Molecule: ribosomal RNA, 253 nt
Filed under: uncultured bacterium
Lineage: Bacteria
Description: partial 16S ribosomal RNA
Rfam family: Bacterial small subunit ribosomal RNA
Source: RNAcentral
UACGUAGGGGGCUAGCGUUGUCCGGAGUCAUUGGGCGUAAAGCGCGUGUAGGCGGCCCGGUAAGUCCGCUGUGAAAGUCCAGGGCUCAACCCUGGAAUGCCGGUGGAAACUGUCGGGCUGGAGUCCGGAAGAGGCGAGUGGAAUUCCUGGUGUAGCGGUGAAAUGUGUAGAGAUCGGGAGGAACACCGGUGGCGAAGGCGGUCUUCUGGACGGUGACUGACGCUGAGGCGCGAAAGCGUGGGGAGCAAACGGG